AUAUUCAUAUAAAUAUUUAUUUUCACUAAUAUAUUCAUUUAAUAAUACGUAAAAAUUCUCGGGUAUUACACUAAAAGGAUGACUUCAAUAUGUAAAAAUACAUAAUGUGCAGAAGGCACAAGUCACAUGGUUGUCAAAAUAAGUCCAUCAACAAAUAAUUAUAUGGUGUAAUUAGAUCCAGAGUAAUUCAUUCACUAAUGUUUACUUUACUACACCAAAUAAUGUAAUUGGUUUCAUUGUAUGGAACCAACUCAUGAAUCAAGAAUUCAUAAUGGCUCGAAUUACAGACAAGUUAGAGUAGUGCUACCAUUAACGGUGAAUGUAAAAGAUGUCAAUAUAAUAAAUAGCGAAACUGAAAAAAGAGUAGACCAGAGAAAAGGAAAAAAUAGAAAAUAGUAUUUGAGGCCUCCAUGGAAUAAUGAUUGGCAACUAAACCGCCAAAAAAAUCUACAACCUCAUACGAUUGAGCUUUGUAUUCAGUAUUAACAAAUCAUUGUCAAGCUGCCUUCUUUGACAAGCCAGAAAAGCAUGAGUCCAAGGCAAAAGAGAAAUAAAAUCAAGAAGGAAGAACGGGCGAGUCAGUGUAGAAUCUUGAUACCUCUGUCACUGUGUAACAACGACGAACACAAGGGAAGCUUAGCAAAAAUGGGCGAAAAAGGUAAAAAAAACAUCUAAGAAGUAAAGACCUCUAAUAAAACAAAUGGCAGCAAAGGAUAAGCAUAGCAAACCUGUAGCUUCAUUGUCAUUUUUGUUAAAGCCUGUAAUUUCUCAAAUAAGUCUCUAGAAGCCUUUGAUUGACUGUUAGACAUGUACCCAGAGCAAUUAACUACAAGCUUUAUGAAAUAAUGUCUUAUGAAAUUACUCUACAUUACUGAAUUAAUGCACCAAUACAGUUUUUCAAGAAGAUAAAGAUAGUGGGUUACUUGAAUUUAUAGAAGAGAAACCCACCAAUCAUAACAAAUGAGAAGCACGCUGCAAGAAGCACCACCAAAAACCUGCAUAACCCCAAUUUAAGAUUCAUUCUAUCAAGUAAUAGAUUGACAUUGUCAAGUAGACGCACUUUAGGAGAUCUGUCAAAAGAAAUGUAUGAAACAACAGAUUGGCAGAGUUCAGCAAUACUAAACCUCCCUUGCGUGAUUUUUUAACCUAUUUUAAGUAUACACGUGUUGACCAAAACCCAUUCCUUUCUCUACUACUAAAUUAAGAGCUUCUCAUUUCUGAUGGCUCAAACAUGUUGAUUACACAUAAUUGUAGUUAGUUAUACUGAAUCUAAUAAUAAUUGUUGUUAAUUAGCACCUAUAUAUGACAACUAUUAUAAAUUUGGUUGUGGCUUGAUAGUCAACUAUAUGCAAAUGUAAUAGAAUAUAACAACGUACCCACCAUAACAGCCCCCACCAUCUAGGGCUUGAUUGUAAAAUGUAAACUUUAUUUUGUAUUUUUCUAUAACUGAUAUAACAGCCCUGCAACUGAUGUAACAGCCCCUUAGUUUUGGCCUUUGGGCAUCAUAAUUGCUAAAGAUAUUAUAUAAGGCUAGAGAUCAAGCAUAAAAAGUUAAAAUUAUACACAAUUAAGAGGAAAAAAUUACACCAAGGGGGAAAUUCACUUUACUUACGUGGCAACAUUUUUCUCAAGUUGUAUGUUGAAUAAAUAAAGUAAUCGUGAAAAGUUCCAUCUGAUAUCUUGUAAUGAAGGAAAAGAUACAUCCAACUGAAGAGGUGUGGGCUUAUUCAAGGAAUUAAAUAUACAAGCAAAAGGAAAGCUUGCCGUCACAGAUGUUCGAAUGACAUGAAAGAAUAAGUCUUGGACCAUAUUAAACACUGUAUUGCCGGAAUUUGGUUGUAUCAAUGUGACCAGGAAAUAAGAUGACAGACAGGCUAUCGUGAGUUUAGUUUGUGGACCCAGCACAUGCUGUAAUGCAAAUAUAAAUCAGUUUAAAUAUUUGUGGUUGCAACAAGCAUGAUAUGCGUAUCAACCUAUAACUAAAUGGAUAUGAGCAAAUGUGUCUUACUCUUUUUAUAUAAAAGAAUGACUUGUUAAAAGAGAUUAAGAAAAGGAAGAAGUUACAGUGGAAGAGGACCAGGAGCCCUCUUAAAAGACUAAAUAAGUAAAAGUUAAUUAUAUAGUACAGCGUUCCAAUCCCUCUGGAUAUCAUAAUCUCUAUCACCUUGAUAUGACCCUCUAGUAAAAAAUCAUUACAAAAUAAAGUUAUAUUCUCUCUUUAGAUUAGAAGAAAGGACAAACUUGACACUAAAAGACACUUGGAUUUCUCUCCAAACAAAUACCAAAGAACCUCAAACAAUAACAAAUAUCUUAAAGAUAUUUCCAUCCUUGCCACCACCAAAUCCUCAAACUUGAAAAGAAGAACAUUUUCAAUGCCAGAAGUCAAAUCUUAGAUAUCUCAAAAAUAUCAAACAAAGUAUUCUAGAGAAAAUUUUUAUGACUCUCAUGUUCUUUGGUACCAACUCUUAACAAUUCAUUAAUAGAAGGUUUCUCUACAAAGAAAAAAAUGAGGAAGAGGAAUGGUACUAUUUUUUGCUUAAAACUACAUAAAUAAUCAGGAAGGGAAUGCAGCAAAUUAAAAAGUUGGAUAAAAACUGACCUCUAAAAACCGGACCAUGUGAUUUAUAUAUAAUUCAGAUUGGACGAAUUAAAAAAUAAAGGCUAGAAUACAUUCCAACAAUAUGAAAUAAAUCAAAAAUUAAUAGACAUAUCUCAAUUACUAACUGAAAUUUUUAAAGUAAAAGUUCAUUCUUAUCAAUUUUGUGCUUCAACUCCUACUUAAUUAAAGCACACCUGAGAAUGGUUUUUGAGGUCCAUCUUCAAUAUCUUAUCAUUUAAAUUCUUUGAAAUACUCAAAUUAGUAGCAUAAUCCAGUUUGGCCCUUGUCGUUUGAGAAUUGACUUCCCACUUCCCUGGCAAAUAAUGAACGGAAUCAUCACAAGGGCAAAACAUAGGUCUUAAAAAAAAUAGCAUGGGUGAUGAGUAUGAAAUAUGUUAUAUUUUUAUUCUUUAAUACUUAAUUUUUUAUAUUUAUUUUGUGCCUAAAUACACUCAUUGUUCUUAUAUUUUUAUUUUAGGUAUAAUUGAAAAUUUCCGUGAAUUUGAAAAUAAUUUGAAGACAAAUUGAGUAUUAUUGGAUUAAAGGAGCUAAUAUUCAAGUGGGUCACGAAUUAUUCAAUUGGAGAAAGAAUUCCUAGCAAUCAAAAGCAAUGCACGGAUUCCAAACUAAUAUUAUGGGCAACAUGAGAUCCUAGCCCAAUUAAUGCUCCAACAUAACAAGUACCCAUCCAAUCCUUUUAAAUUAAUAUUACAAAUCAUGUGGGCCACAGUUUGCUUUUGUUUUCAUGCAGCAAACUUGCAAUCCUUACAUUUAUUCACGUGGGCAAUAUAUUCAUGGAUUCUAAUUCUAAUUGGAAGAGGAUCCACUAAGUCACAAAGAAUUUAGCAGCUUCACGCGACAUGGAAAAAUCCGAACGCGGCAUGGAGAGUUGGCACAAGGCAUAUUGUGGAAUUUAAUUCCAAUUUCAAAUCUGAUUUUUGGAUUCUAGAAAAUUAAUUUUUACAAUUCUAUUGUAAUUAGGAUUUCUUUUAGACUAAGAUUUAUUUCCAAGUUGAAUUCUAUUUCUCUAUGGAAAUUAGUGUAAUUUGUAAUUUCUUUAGGAUUUGGAUUUCUACUUCCUAUAGGAUUUAGGACUUUGUCUAGCACUAUAAAUAGAGGAUGAGAGUCGGGGUUUUAUUCAUUCAACAAUCAAUUAUCAUCUAUUAGAGUGCACACUCAAGAGUAUGUCAGGCUAGUUCUUUUCAUUCAGUUCUAAAGGGAGGUAGAACCUUGUUACAAGUAAUUAAUUAAUUGAGUAUUAUUAUUUAUUACUUCUUGUGUGAAAUUUCUUUUGAUAAUCUGUUUUCAUUGAUUGCACGCUAAUUGAUCUAAUUAAUUUAAUAUGGUCAAUUGAGUUAGUUUGGUCGUUAUCAUAUGCUAGAUUAAGAUUGGUAUUACGUGUAAUUGAUAACUAUCUUCGUCACUAGUAGUAACUUGAUAAUAAUAAUUAUGGACAAGCUUUUGUUUAUUGCUAAGAUUAUCAAAAAACAAGUUAAACAAAUCGAGCUUAUGCGUUUGUUACUUGGAUUAGCCUAAUUCUCUAUUUCUUAAUGCUUCUAUCAUAUUAAAUCUAGAGAGCUUAUUAUAGGUUGUAUGCUAGUUAGAAUCUAGUGGAGAGCUUGUUUCAUAUAGUGAUAAUCUAAGGAGAAUUUCGGAUAGCAGAGCUUAUUGUUAUCUAGGGCUAAUAAUUUCAUUGAAGGGAAAAAAAUAAUUAAUUGAUUAAUUGAUUGUUGUACUUGGUGAAACUGAACUGCAGAACUGAAGUUUUUACAUAUUUGGUUAAAUCAUUAAUUCUUGUUCUCUUAGUUUAAAAAUAAUUUUCAAAAACCCCCAUCUUUAUUUUCUAUCAAAAUAAUAGAAUAAAUAUAAAACAAAUUACUCUCUGUGGGAUCGAUCCUUACUUACUAAUAGAACUCUCAGGGAUGGCGAUUCAAAACAACAAUAGAACUCUCAGCGAGUUGGCAACUCCUAAUUUAAAUAAACAACCUCUGUGCAAUGAAUAUCCUAAUUUAGAUGUUGCAUUUGAACUUAAAUCAGGACUAAUCCAUUUACUGCCUACUUUUCGUGGUCUUACAGGUGAGGACCCUUUCAAACAUCUAAAGGAAUUUCAUGUGGUGUGCUCUACUAUGAAACCACAUGGAAUCACCGAAGAGCAAAUCAAGUUGAGAGCAUUCCCAUUCUCCCUAGCAGAUUUGGCAAAGGAUUGGUUGUACUACCUACCCUCAGGUUCAAUACAGUCUUGGAAUGACAUGAAGCAGUUGUUCUUGGAGAGAUACUUUCCAGCCUCAAGAGUAGCCAACAUAAGGAAGGAGAUCUGUUAGAUUAGACAAUUCAGUGGGGAGACACUAUACGAGUAUUGGGAAAGAUUCAAAAAGCUUUAUUCUAGCUGUCCACCGCAUCAAAUAGAUGAACAAUACCUGAUCCAAUAUUUCUACGAAGGGUUGGCACCGAUGGAUAGAAGCAUGAUCGAUGCAGCUAGCGAAGGGGCACUAGUUGACAAGACCCCAAAGGCUGCAAGGAAUUUAAUUGUAAACAUGGUAGCAAACUCGCAACAAUAUGGCACUAGAACAAAUCAUGCACCAGUAAGGGUAAGCGAGGUAAGCACUUGUGAUUAUGGUCAACAAAUUUCUGAAUUAACUGCUAUGGUUAGACAAUUAGCUACAGGUCAACUUCCAGUUGCAAAGGUUUGUGAAAUAUGUUUACAAUCAAAUCACAAUACAGAUCAAUGCCCAACAUUACAAGAUGACGAGGCUGUGCAACAAGCUAAUGCAAUGGGAAAUUAUUAGCCACCUCCUCAGAGAAAGUAUGAUCCGUACUCAAACACGUAUAACCCAGGAUGGAGGGAUCAUCUAAAUCUGAGUUAUGGGAGCAAGCAAGCGGCACCACCUGCAUUUCCACCUAGACAGCAGGGCUUCCAACCAGCCUAACCUCAAUAUCAACCGAAGCAAGCAGUCCCUGCACCUACUGGAACAUCAUUGGAGGAUAUGUUCAAAGCAUUCAUGGGACAAACACAACAAUUCAUGCAAGAGACAAAAACUUCGGUUCAAGAUUUGAGGAACCAAUUAGGACAAUUGGCUACAACUGUGGGGAUAUUGGAAUCCAGAGGCUCAGGAAAAUUACCAUCUCAAACAGUAGUCAACCCAAGGGAGAAUGCAAGUGCCAUAACUUUACGGAAUGGAACACAGUUGGAUACACCACCGACCCCCGUAGAGUUCGAGAAGGAAGCAGCUAAGGAAGAAACAAAAAAAUCCAAGGUGCAACCUAACCCUCCUAAUCAGCUUAAAAACAUUCCUCUUCCCUUUCCUCCCAGAAAUUCUAAAACCUCAAAGAAAGAUGAAAAAAAAAAAGAAAUUUCGAAAACUUUUAGAAAAGUAGAAGUGAACAUCCCUCUUCUUGAUGUAAUUAAACAAGUACCAUGGUAUGCUAAAUUUUUAAAAGAAUUAUGCACUAAUAAAAGAAAAUUGCAAAAUGAUGAAAGAGUCACAGUUGGAGAAAAUGUAUCUGUUGUUCUUCAAAGAAAAAUGCCUCCUAAAUGUAAAGAUCCAGGAAUGUUCACAAUCCCAUGCAAAAUAGGAAACAUCAGAUUUGAAAAAGGCAUGCUAUAUUUAGGAGCUUCAAUUAAUGUUAUGCCUUUAUCUGUUUAUGCCUCCUUAAAUCUAGGCCCUUUGAAAAAUACUGGUGUGAUUAUCCAAUUGGCAGAUCGUACUAACACCUACCCCCGAGGGGUAAUUGAAGAUGUCUUAGUGCAGAUGAACGAACUAAUCUUUCCUGCAGAUUUUUACAUUGUGGAUAUGGAAGAUGAUACAUCACCAAACCCUUCCCACAUCUUGUUAGUAAAACCCUUCCUAAAAACAGCAAGAACUAUGAUUGAUGUGCAUAAUGGGACCUUGACUAUGGAGUUUGAUGAUGAGAAAAUUUAGUUUAACAUCUAUGAUGCCAUGAGGUACCCUACUGAUAUAGGACAGGUUUUUGCUAUCGAUGUGAAAGACUCCUUGGUGCAUAGAGCUUUUGAACAACUACAUAGGGACAGUUUAGAAAUUGCAAUCACCAACAGUUUGGACAUGGACAGGGAAGAAGAGAUUACGCAAACCCAAGAAUUGAAGGAGAAUGUAGCUGCAUUACAUUCAUUGCCAAAAUUCUCAAAUAAGUUAGCAGUACAUUCUAUUUAAUUUCUUGUUUCUCAUCAAAAGUUAUUACCUUCUGUUGUACAAGCCCCAACUCUAGAAUUGAAACAAUUACCUGCUCAUUUGAAAUAUGCAUAUUUGGGGACUAAUGACACUUUGCCUGUAAUUAUUGCUAGUAAUCUAACCAAGGUGCAGGAAGAAAAAUUGCUGAGAGUCCUAAAGCACCAUGUUACAGUUUUUGGAUGGACAAUAGCGGAUAUCAAGGGUAUUAGUCCUGCCAUGUGCAUGCAUCGGAUAUUGUUAGAGGAUGGAGCUAAGCCUACAAGAGAUGCGCAAAGGAGAUUGAAUCCAUCCAUGAUGGAGGUGGUGAAAAAAGAAGUGCUCAAAUUGCUUGAUGUCGGUAUCAUCUAUCCCAUCUCCGAUAGUCAAUGGGUGAGUCCAGUGCAGGUAAUCCCAAAGAAAUCCGGAAUCACCAUUGUCAAGAAUUAUGAUAAUGAGUUGGUGCCCACACGAAUGCAAACAGGGUGGAGAGUAUGUAUAGAUUAUAGAAAAUUGAAUGUUGUAACAAGAAAGGAUCACUUUCCUCUUUCUUUUAUUGAUCAAAUGUUGGAGAGAUUAGUUGGGCACACUUAUUAUUGUUUUCUAGAUGGUUUUUCAGGAUAUAACCAGAUUGUGAUUGCACCCGAGGACCAAGAGAAGACCACAUUCACAUGUCCCUUUGGUACUUUUGCCUAUCGACGGAUGUCUUUUGGACUGUGUAAUGCCCCAAGUACUUUUCAACGAUGCAUGGUAAGCAUUGUUUUCAAAUCUUUUAGAAGAAUGCUUCGAGGUUUUUAUGGAUGAUUUUACAAUUCAUGGUGAUUCUUUGGAUGCAUGCUUAGAUAAUUUAAAUCGUGUUCUAGAUAGAUGCAUGGAAACUAAUCUUGUUUUAAAUUGGGAAAAAUGUCAUUUCAUGGUAGAACAGGGAAUAGUACUUGGACAUGUUAUGUCAUCUAAAGGUCUUGAAGUUGAUAAAGCUAAGAUAAAUGUUAUAUCUGCUUUGCCUUACCCCGUCAGCGUGCGGGAGAUUCGCUCUUUUCUUGGUCAUGCAAGAUUUUAUCGAAUAUUUAUCGAGGACUUCUCGAAGAUUGCAUUACCCUUAUGUAAGUUGCUACAAAAAGAUGUGGACUUUCAGUUUGAUGGUGAAUGCAAGGAGGCUUUUGACACUUUAAAGAAAUUAUUAACUUCUGCCCCUGUCAUUCAACUGCCAAAUUAGAAGUUGUCAUUUGAGAUCAUGUGUGACGCAAGCAACUAUGCAGUGGGGGCUGUUUUGGGACAAAGGAUUGACAAAGCCGUUCAUGCCAUCUACUAUGCUUCGAGGACUUUGAAUGAGGCUCAGAUAAACUAUUCCACAACUAAAAAAGAACUUUUAUCUGUGGUUUUUGCUUUAGAUAAAUUUCAAUCAUAUUUGCUUGGUACUAAAAUUAUAGUUUAUUCUGACCAUGCUGCUCUCAGGUAUUUGCUCACCAAGAAAGAUUCUAAAUCAAGGAUUAUUCGAUAGAUUCUGCUCUUACAAGAAUUUGACUUAGAGAUCAAGGAUAAAAAAGGUGCGGACAACUUAGUAGCAGAUCACUUGAGUAGGUUAUUGAGAGACGAGGAAGAGCUACCGUUACAUGAUUCUUUCCCGGAUGAGCAGUUACUUUCCAUCCAUGCUGAGAUUCCCUGGUAUGCAGAUAUGGUGAAUUAUUUGGUAAGUGCAUAUUUUCCUAAAGAAUUUUCCAAAUCCUAAAAGGAAAAGUUAAAAAGUGAUGCUAGACACUAUGUUUGGGAUGAUCCAUACUUGUGGAAAUUUGUGCUGACCAGAUAGUUAGACGAUGUGUGCCUAACAGUGAAUUUCAAUCUAUUCUUUCCUUUUGUCAUUCUUAUGCUUGUGGAGGACAUUUUGGUCCAAAAAGAACUGCUAAUAAAGUUUUGGAAAGUGGUUUUUAUUGGCCAUCGCUUUUUAAAGAUUCCUAUUUGUUUUGUAAAACAUGUGUUAAUUGCCAAAGGACGGGGAAUAUUUCUCAACAAAAUCAAAUGCCCCAAACUCCUAUAUUAGUUGUUGAGAUUUUUGAUGUAUGGGGUAUAGAUUUUAUGGGACCUUUUUCCUUCAUCAUUUGGGAAUUUAUUCAUUCUUUUGGCUGUUGAUUAUGUCUCAAAAUGGGUGGAAGUUAAAGCCACUAGGACUGACGAUUCUAAAGUUGUUGCAGAUUUUGUUAGGACUAACAUAUUUGUCAGGUUUGGAACACCACGAGCCAUCAUUAGUGAUCGCGGAACCCACUUUUGCAACAGGGUGUUAGCGGUUUUGUUCACGAAAUACAAUGUUCUGCGCAGAGUAAUGGUCAAGUUGAGGUGUCUAACAGAGAGAUAAAAUCCAUUUUGGAGAAGGUAUUCAACCCGAGCAGAAAGGAUUGGAGUAUGAGAUUAGAUGAUGCACUUUGGGCCUAUAGAACUGCGUAUAAAACAACUAUUGGGAUGUCACCAUACAGGAUUGUGCUUGGAAAACCAUGCCACUUACCUGUUGAGUUGGAGCAUAGGGCUUUUUGGGCAAUCAAGCAGUGCAACAUGAGUUUGGAGGCAGCUGGAGUACACAGGAAAUUACAGUUACAAGAGUUAGAAGAAUUGAGGAAUGAAGCCUAUGAAAGUUCAAAGAUUUUCAAGGAAAAGACCAAAGUUUUUCAUGAUAUGCAGAGCGGAAAACCUUUAUUGUGGGACAGUUUUGCUAUAUCAUUCUCGGAUUAAGUUAUUUCCAGGUAAAUUGAGAUUUAGAUGGGUUGGUCCUUUUGUUAUCACUAAUGUGUUUCCUCAUGGUGCAAUUGAGAUUCAAAGCCCGAGCACAAGCAAGAUCUUUAAGGUGAAUGGACAUAGAUUAAAGCCUUUCUAUGAGGGGCAUCAGGUGGAAAAUAUUGAGAUGGUGGAGCUAGACGAUCCGAUCUAUGAAAGCUGAGAAGAGAGGCAUGACGUUGAGCCAAAGACGUUAAACACGGGCAGCUGCUUGGGAGGCAAUCCAAGAUCUCAGAUUUGAUUUUUCUAUCCCUUCACUUUUUAGUUUUUUUUAUUGUAUGUUAGCUAGUAGUAUUUUCUUCUUCGCAUGAUUUUUUUACAUUGGGGACAGUGUAAGGUUUGAGUGUGGGGGGGGGGGGAGAUUUAGGUUUUAUUUUAUGUAGGAAUAAUAAUCCAAUUUUGAUGGGAAGUUCAAAAAAUUGAAAAAAAUCUGAUUUUUUUUUUUUGAAAACUUGGGUUCCAUGGUUCUAUUUGCCUAUGUGUUCGAAGGUUAAAGUCAAAGAUUGAAAAUUGAUACUAAAAUUCAUAAUCUGGUUGAUGCUUAAUUUGUUAAUGAAUGAUGACAACUAAGCCAUGAUCCAUAGUAAUUGAUUUAAAUUGAAUUUGUGAUACAUGAGUACUUGAAUAUGAGAAGCAUGUUUAUUUGCCUAAGUUAAUUGUGGAGUUGUCUAUGUGCACUGAUUUCAUGACUUAGAACUGUUUAACUUGUUUAUGUUGUUGCAGAACCAUGUGAAAAAAAUGAUGAAUGAAAAAAAAAAGGAAAAAAAUGAAAAUUGAAAAUCUGCUUCAAUGUCCAUUGUGCGAAUAACUGGGUAUCUAAGCCUCGAGAAGCAUCGGUAUUCAUGCUAAAAAGUGUGAUGGAUAAAAGUAGCUUGACUAGUCGACUUUUGUGACCUUUGUUACUUGAAUAAGUAAGCCUUAGGGGUGUCUCUACACCUAGCGCCUUAAGAUCAUCUGGUUUGGGAGUCGUUGGUGGAAAGUUCGCUAAUGGGCAACUCUGAAAGCCUAAGAAAAUGAGACAUUGCACAUGUCAAGAAAAGAAAAAAAAUAAUACGAGAAAAGCAUGAAAAUACAUUCAUCUGUGCUAAAGAGGAUGUUCUAUAGAAAAAAAUUAAAAAGUAAGAAAAAUUUGUUCUUGGUUGUGAGUCAGUGUGCAUGGUUUUUGCUUCAUGGUAACUAAGUUGAGUAAGUAUGUAGAUUUUGGGAAAGUUACUUAUGUGGCUACAAUUUGGUUUAAUGAAAUUCAUUGGUGAAAUAGUAAGGUUUUUCAUUGUGAGUUAACUGAUAAGACAUUGAUUAGAAUUUUGCAAAUUUAGUUUUGAUAAUCAUGAUUUGUAUCUUGAAAUCUUUUGACAUGAUGGUUGAAUAGAAUUUUCUGGAAAUCAAACUUUUGAUUUACACGAGGACAAGUAAAAAGAUAAGUGUGGGGGAAUUUGAUGAGUAUGAAAUAUGUUAUAUUUUUAUUCCUUAAUACUUAAAUCUUUUAUAUUUAUUUUGUGCCUAAAUACACUCAUUGUUCUUAUAUUUUUAUUUUAGGUACAAUUGAAAAAUUCCGUGAAUUUGGAAAUAAUUUGAAGACAAAUUGAGUAUUAUUGGAUUAAAGGAGCUAAUAUUCAAGUGGGCCACGAAUUAUUCAAUUGGAGAAAGAAUUCCUAGCAAUCAAAAGCUAUGCACUGAUUCCAAACUAACAUUAUGGGCAACAUGAGAUCCUAGCCCAAUUAAUGCUCCAACAUAACAAGCACCCAUCCAAUCCUUUUAAAUUAAUAUUACAAAUCAUGUGGGCCACGGCUUGCUUUUGUUUUCAUGCAGCAAACUUGCAAUCCUUACAUUUAUUCAUGUGGGCAAUAUAUUCAUGGAUUCUAAUUCUAAUUGGAAGAGGAUUCACUAAGUCACAAAGAAUUCAGCAGCUUCACGCGACAUGGAAAAAUCCGAACGCAGCAUGGAGAGUUGGCUCACGGCAUAUUGUGGAAUUUAAUUCCAAUUUCAAAUCUAAUUUUUGGAUUCUAGAAAAUUAAUUUUUACAAUUCUAUUGUAAUUAGGAUUUCUUUUAGACUAAGAUUUAUUUCCAAGUUGAAUUCUAUUUCUCUAUAGAAAUUAGUGUAAUUUGUAAUUCCUUUAGGAUUUGGAUUUCUACUUCCUAUAGGAUUUAGGACUUUGUCUAGCACUAUAAAUAGAGGAUGAGAGUCAGGGUUUUAUUCAUUCAACAAUCAACUAUCAUCUAUUAGAAUGCAGACUCAAGAGUAUGUCAGGCUAGUUCUUUUCAUUCAGUUCUAAAGGGAGGUAGAACCUUGUUACAAGUAAUUGAUUAAUUGAGUAUUAUUAUUUAUUCCUUCUUGUGUGAAAUUUCUUUUGAUAAUUUGUUUUCAUUGAUUGCAUGCUAAUUGAUCUAAUUAAUAUAAUAUGGCCAAUUGAGUUAGUUUGAUCGUUAUCAUAUGCUAGAUUAAGAUUGGUAUUACGUGUAAUUGAUAUCUGUCUUCGUUGUCUUCGUCACAAGUAGCAACUUGGUAAUAAUAAUUGUGGACAAGCUUCUGUUUAUUGCUAAGAUUAUCAGAAAACAAGUUUAAAAAAUCGAACUUAUAUGUUUGUUACUUGGAUUAGCCUAAUUCUCUAUUUCUUAAUGCUUCUAUCAUAUUAAAUCUAGAGAGCUUAUUCUAGGUUGUAUGCUAGUUAGAAUCUGGUGGAGAGCUUGUUUCAUACAGUGCUAAUCUAAGGAGAAUUUCGGAUAGCAGAGCUUAUUGUUAUCUAGGGCUAAAAAUUUCAUUGAAGGGAAAAUAAUAAUUACUUGAUUAAUUGAUUGUUGUACUUGGUGAAACUGAACUGCAGAACUGAAGUUUUUACAUAUUUGGUUAAAUCAUUAAUUCUUGUUCUCUUAGUUUAAAAAUAAUUUUCAAAAACCCCCCAUCUUUAUUUUCUAUCAAAAUAAUAGAAUAAAUAUAAAACAAAUUAUUCUAUGUGGGAUCGAUCCUUACUUACCACUGUGCUAAUUGUUUGAAUUUGUAAAGUAAAAGUGAGUUAAUUUAGGAGUGUAAAUGACAGCUCCCAAUGGGUUAGUAUUAACAUCAGCAAAAAAAAGGGAUAAAGGAUAACCACAUGUGGGUCCAAAAUAAUUCUAUCUAACAUAUGUAAACAUUAAAAAAUUGUACAAGUACAAUCAUCUGUAUCAAUUACCAUGGCAUGUAUAUAGUGGAGUAAUAAAAGAAGUAAGUUUAGUAUAAGCUAUGUCACAUAAGGCAAAUAAAACAGAGCAAUCUCCUAGCAGGAUAAUGAUCACUAACCCGGAAACCAAUUUGCAUACAAACUUCAACCAGUGGCAUAUUGGAUUGUUUGAAGAUUGUUCACAAAAAACUGUCAAGUGUGAAAAAAGUUAGGUAACUCAACUAUAAUCCUAAAGGCAAAUGUUUCGGGGGUUAAGUUGGGUUGACCUUAUACAAGAUGCAAAGGUGAAUCCAUCCUUUGCAUAUGAUGGGCAAUUUUCCACCUUAGCUCUUGAAAAAUCACAAAAUAGAAGGUAUAAUGAACUUAUAUUUUGAACCCCUUGAAUUCUAAAAAAACAUUAACCUUUUAUAUAGAAUUUGAUCCCUUGUCUAUGAUGAACUUAAGUCCCUUACCUUUAGUCUUAAAAAAACACAUUCUAAUUUUUUUUUAACUUUAUUGCAACUACCAUUUGACCCCUUGUGUAAUACUAGCUCCACCUGCCGAGAUGGCUUGUCUAGAUCAGUACUAUAAAGGAAGCCCAAACUCUCCUUCCCAUUUUUUCUUCACAAGUGUUUUACAUUUUAUAUUUUAGAAAAGGAACAUAUUUCAAAUAAACUGAAAAUGCUUGCUUUCAGAUCAUAAGACAUUAUUUCAUAAGAAAGAGAAAUAUCAUCAAUUACUGCAUACUGCACAUUAACAAACAUUCAUAAACUUAAUACACUACCAAGCCAUCUUGAGCAACAUAACAUUAAAGAAACACAAAGAACAUGUCAAAAUUUACAAAAAAAGAGGAAAUAAUCUCCUGCACCUGUCUAAAGUCAACUUCAACAACCCACCAGUGAACACUAACAUGUAAUGCUGAGAGGGAAUGAUUUAAAUGGCAAUAAUACCAGCCACACUCAUGGGAUAAUGCUAUCCAAGAGAGCAUUUUUAGCAGGUUAAAAAUUAAACUAGACUAGACUGCAAAACUUUAUCACAAACAGCUUCUCUUUUUUCCUUUUUUUGGGUAUUUAAUACUUACUUUUAAUCUAAAGUUAAAUUAACCUCUACAUCCCACUUACAAAAUAAAAGAAGGAAACAUUCAGCAAAAAGUUUAUUGUAUGAUCUGCCAAAUAAAAUUCUCCCUAUUUACACAACAUUAGAAGAGAUUCCAAGUAAAAACCUAUGUCUUCUAAUACCUAAAAUCUGAACUUGGGGUUUAAGCUAAACAAAUGGCAAAUGUUCCUAGCCAAAAAAAAAAUCAACCACAAAUAGCAAGCAUAUUCAUUGUGACAAAUUACCGGGAUCAUUAAAAUAUAUAGCACAUGUGGGUUUGGUCUCUUAAGUACAUUAUAUUAUCCUCUCCUUGAUAUGCCUAAAAAAAUUAUAGUAAUCUGUACUAGAUAUCUCAAAUUUCAACAGAUUUCAAGUGUGAACAUAAAUGAGCUCAAUCAGGAUACAAAAGAAGAAACAAUUAACAUAUUUCCCUCUUGUAAAUGAACAGAAGAAGGCUGAGAAGACUAAACUACUAAAAACUGCAAAUUUGGUCAAAUACUCAAAUCUCUAUAGCUCAGAAAUCUGAAGAAAAAAGUUACAAACUGAUCUAAAAAUUCUACUAAAAAAAUUUAUCAAAUUACCAGGAAAAUCAGAUUCAACCAAAGCAUUUGUAGGUAGAAAAAACCCCAUAAAAAUAAAAUUAGAAGAUCUUAAAAGAAGAAUGAAUUGUCGGGCCGGGGACUCGGGGAUAGAAGAUGGGGUCAGUUUUGAGCUAGCAAAUCUAUAAUACCUCUACUGUGGUUUCGUCUCUUCGAGAUUGACUGAUGAUGACCGAUGAAGGGCCGCCGAAGGCGAUGAGGGAGGCGAUGCGCCGAUGGCCGUCGGCGACUUGAGAGUUCGAGAUCUGGUUUUGGGAUGAGAGAUUGAGAGUUCGAGAUCUAGGUACUUGGUCUGGGUUUGGGAAUUGAGAGAAUGAGAGUUACGACUUCAGAGUGGGC
This 14693-nucleotide long non-coding RNA is filed under the name Panax ginseng (ginseng). RNAcentral's name for it is "long non-coding RNA (PGIN_LNC013152)". The record is from RNAcentral. Lineage: Eukaryota; Viridiplantae; Streptophyta; Magnoliopsida; Apiales; Araliaceae.